This 460-nucleotide ribosomal RNA is filed under the name uncultured bacterium. RNAcentral's name for it is "partial 16S ribosomal RNA". It matches the Rfam family "Bacterial small subunit ribosomal RNA", at positions 338 to 795 of the family's 1533-position model. The record is from RNAcentral.
CCUACGGGAGGCAGCAGUGAGGAAUAUUGGUCAAUGGGCGCAAGCCUGAACCAGCCAAGUCGCGUGAGGGAUGACGGUCCUAUGGAUUGUAAACCUCUUUUGUCGGGGAGCAAGGCCCGCCACGUGUGGCGGGAAGGAGAGGACCCGAAGAAAAAGCAGCGGCUAACUCCGUGCCAGCAGCCGCGGGAAUACGGAGGAUGCGAGCGUUAGCCGGAUUGAUUGGGUUUAAAGGGUGCGGAGGCGGAAGGUUAAGUCAGCGGUAAAAUUGAGCGGCUCAACCUCUUCGCGCCGUUGAAACUGGUUUUCUUGUGUGAGUGAGAAGUAUGCGUCUUGCGUUGUGUCGCGGUGAACUGCAUAGCUAUCACGCAGAACUCCGAUUGCGCAGGCAGCAUACCGGCGCUCACCUGACGCUCAUGCACGAAAGUGUGGGUAUCGAACAGGAUUAGAUCCCCCAGUAGUC